GGGGAAAAUUGGGCUUUCUCCAAAACCUGCUGUUGGCAGGGUUGAUCCUUUAAUGAUAAAUGUAGUUAUUUGCUGAAUUUUCAGGGGUCAGGAGCGCAUCUGUUACGACAUUUGUCCUUACACAGAGAGUCAGUGUAGGCAACUGAAUCCCUUACAUGACAUUAUCACAUUUUUGUGGUCUGAAAGGCUCCUUAAAUAUUAAACCAUUUCUAUGGAUUUCAAUUUGAAGCAGAUUCCAAGCAAUACUGGCUGGAAAUGAAAAUUACUCUUUACCCUUCCUUUUUCUUCUUCUUUUUUUUAAUAAUCAAAGAAUUCAAGAGUAGAAAAGGUUACCACAUCCUUUUCUCAGCAAGAGUGGACUCCCUUUUUUCUGGAUUGUUCUUUAUUUGUUAAUGGAAAUUCUGGGGGAAAAAAAAAUCAUCUUCAUUAUUCAUCUUCAGUUUACUUGUAGAAAUAAAAAAGCCUAGUCUUACUUUAAGUUUCCUCUUUCAGUAAUGUAAAUGUUUCAGUGAUGUAAAACUCCAUUGUAUGAUGAUAGAUUUGAUAAAUCAAAAGGAUGAGCUGUGAUGAUGUUCAUUGCAUGACUAGCAAUUGGAAAGUAGAUACUAACAUUGUAUUCAAAGACCAGAAAUACAAUUCUGAAUUUUCUGUUAAUCCAGAAAGAAGUAAAGUAACUGCCAUUGUGCCAUCAGACCAGGCGUCAGUAUCAGAUACAGGGAGAUGGAAUAAUGCACCUUACUGUCAGAAGGAAGAAAGAAUCUUUGAAAUCUUAUUUGAGGAGGUAGUCAUCCUGCAUGCAGAUCACAGGAUUAGAGGUAUGCAGGGAGUAUGCUGAGCAAAAGACCCUGAAUGAAGGCUGCUACAAAGCUGCUGUGGAUAUACUGCAUUGGUUUCAGUCAGCUUUGCACAGAGGCAAAACUGUCCCCUCAUGUUCAAUAACUGGUUAAAUAACGGGAACACUUUUUUAUUUCCUUACAGAGCCCAUUAGCAAAAAUUUAGAUGCAGACUCCACCUCUGAGUUUGGAGUCUGCCUGAUUAAAGUCAUUUCUCCUCCCUUUCUGCUAACAAUCAGCAAUUGUUUGACACUCCUGUAACACUUCUUUAAUAAAGCCACUGGUAAUAACAGCACAUUUACCAAAAGAUUAAUGUAAAAUUCUCCCUGAAUUAUUGAAUUUACUGUUACUUGGGGUGUCUUCUGUUAUAAGUGGAAAUUGCAAGGAGACACUCUAUUAGUACCCUGCCAAUGUGUGUGUCAGUCGCAACACCCUUUAGAAUAACUGGGAGAAAUUGACUGUGCAUUCUUCCAUACAAUAACAAGACAUUAUUACAACAUAACAAUGUUUGUCAGAUUAAUUUGAAAGCAGAAUUUGUUGUGAUUUAAACCAUGAAAAGAAAAUGAGUUCUGAAAAUACUUCUUUAUACUUGUUUCUUCUAACAGCCUAAUUUCUUGGGAGGACUUUCUAAUCAAUGUAAUCUGGUGUGACUUCAUUAACUCACCAUUUCAAGAAGAUAGUCCGAUAUAUUUUCUUGAUCAGUAGCAGUAGAUAAAAAUACUAAACUUCUCUUUCUUUAACUGCAACACCAACGACAAGCAUGUGAAUUUAAAUACAGUAAUACAAACGCCAGCAUAUUGCAGGUUAACAGUGUGUAGUCCAGAAACAAACAAAAAAGAAACUUAAUAUUCCAGGACAAAACAGUUACACUUACUUUGUAUAAAAAGCCAUAAUAACCUUGUUAGCAAUGACUUUGUGCAGUUCAUGUGAGAAUAUCUAAGAUUAAAAAGCAAUACUGACUAAAGCUAUGUAAAAAUCCUUGGCAAAAGCUGUUAUCGACCUAAUCAUUCAAAUAAAGUAGCAAAUUUAUACCCUUUUACAAACUGCAUUCCUGGGAGUUUUCUGUGGUUUAGAAGACCAUCCAGUAUGCUGUA
Strigops habroptila (Kakapo) is the source of this 1927-nucleotide long non-coding RNA. RefSeq lists it as uncharacterized. The transcript has 3 exons. NCBI's taxonomy places the organism in Eukaryota, Metazoa, Chordata, Aves, Psittaciformes, Psittacidae. The record is from RefSeq and is a predicted model, not a curated record.